AAGAAGGAGGAUAUCCAUCAAAAUACAACUGCCUAUUACCAUGUAUUGUCCAGCUCAUCAUGAAACUGCCCUGUGAAGAUCCGUCAUAUAGCUGGAAUAUCGCCGAGUGUGGCAUUAAACUACAAACAAACAAACUUGUAUUUCAUGUUCACCAUUGAUACAUAGCCAACAAAAAACUGGUAAUAUUUAUUGACAAGAUACAUUUUGUUUUGUUAAUAUGUGACAGAUACAACAUUGUACAUAUUUAUUUUAUUCACCUUCAGUAUCUGCUUUUAAGUGUUCAACUUUUAUGUUUAAUCAUUAGUUAAGAUAGAUUAAAUGUAGUUAAUGUGACCUUCAUGUUGUAAGCCUUAACAAACCCAAGCCAUGACGUGCUCAAUUGAUUGGCCAAGCUAACCCUCAAAGUUGACCCUUUGUCUCACUGCAUGUUCUCAGUCUGCACACAUUUCCUGCACAGACAUGUUGACCAGUGAAAUCAUCUAAAAUCAGAUAUCCGGAAUUAUAAGUUGCGGCGCUAGUCGGGAAGACACCCAAGUCUGACCCACAGGGGUGUAGAUACUAGAUACUACAUGGAUAAAUAUAUGACAAAUCCAUUGGCGGAAUAAACGUCUCUAACCCCUAGCGUGUGUUUGUCAUCGCUCAUUCACUGCCCUGCUACAAAUACGUAAUACAUACACCAAGUUAUUUAUAUAAUAUGUGUUAAGUGAUCACGCAAAUGUUUGGAACCUGUUUUAGGUGUACAAUAUUGCAAUGUAAUAACA
This is a long non-coding RNA of Haliotis rufescens (red abalone), 761 nucleotides long. RefSeq lists it as uncharacterized. NCBI's taxonomy places the organism in Eukaryota, Metazoa, Mollusca, Gastropoda, Lepetellida, Haliotidae. The transcript is spliced from 3 exons. The record is from RefSeq and is a predicted model, not a curated record.